UUGCCUCCAUUGAUGGAACUUGAACAGUUUGCUGUUAUUCUUUUGGUUUGCACUAGAACACAAAAGAAAAUACUCUGUCUUUGUGGUGGCACAGAUUGAAUAACGGAAUAUAUCU
Molecule: small nucleolar RNA, 115 nt
Organism: Sciurus carolinensis (gray squirrel)
Lineage: Eukaryota; Metazoa; Chordata; Mammalia; Rodentia; Sciuridae
Product: small nucleolar RNA SNORA31
Exons: 1
Source: RefSeq, a predicted model, not a curated record